AUGCAAGUCGAGGGGUAAGGUAGCAAUAUCUGAGACCGGCGCACGGGUGCGUAACGCGUAUGCAAUCUACCUUUUGCAGAGGGAUAGCCCAGAGAAAUUUGGAUUAAUACCUCAUAGUAUAGUACCUUCGCAUGGAGGAACUAUUAAAGUCACAACGGCAAAAGAUGAGCAUGCGUCCCAUUAGUUAGUUGGUAAGGUAACGGCUUACCAAGACAGCGAUGGGUAGGGGUCCUGAGAGGGAGAUCCCCCACACUGGUACUGAGACACGGACCAGACUCCUACGGGAGGCAGCAGUGAGGAAUAUUGGACAAUGGGCGCAAGCCUGAUCCAGCCAUGCCGCGUGCAGGAUGACGGUCCUAUGGAUUGUAAACUGCUUUUGCACAGGAAGAAACACCCCGACGUGUCGGGGCUUGACGGUACUGUGAGAAUAAGGAUCGGCUAACUCCGUGCCAGCAGCCGCGGUAAUACGGAGGAUCCAAGCGUUAUCCGGAAUCAUUGGGUUUAAAGGGUCCGUAGGCGGUUUAGUAAGUCAGUGGUGAAAGCCCAUCGCUCAACGGUGGAACGGCCAUUGAUACUGCUAGACUUGAAUUAUAAGGAAGUAACUAGAAUAUGUAGUGUAGCGGUGAAAUGCUUAGAGAUUACAUGGAAUACCAAUUGCGAAGGCAGGUUACUACUUAUGGAUUGACGCUGAUGGACGAAAGCGUGGGUAGCGAACAGGAUUAGAUACCCUGGUAGUCCACGCCGUAAACGAUGGAUACUAGCUGUUGGGUGCAAGUUCAGUGGCUAAGCGAAAGUGAUAAGUAUCCCACCUGGGGAGUACGUUCGCAAGAAUGAAACUCAAAGGAAUUGACGGGGGCCCGCACAAGCGGUGGAGCAUGUGGUUUAAUUCGAUGAUACGCGAGGAACCUUACCAAGGCUUAAAUGUAGAUUGACCGUUU
RNAcentral lists this ribosomal RNA (938 nucleotides) under uncultured Flavobacteriaceae bacterium. RNAcentral describes it as "bacterial SSU rRNA". It matches the Rfam family "Bacterial small subunit ribosomal RNA", at positions 55 to 1001 of the family's 1533-position model. Lineage: Bacteria; Pseudomonadati; Bacteroidota; Flavobacteriia; Flavobacteriales; Flavobacteriaceae. The record is from RNAcentral.